GAAAAUACAUAAUGGAAACAGUACAGAAGAGAGGGACAUAUUUUAAAUGACAUCAUAUGGAUUUAACUGAAACCUGAAGCAUCAGAAUUGAAAUCUAAAGCAUCAGAAAUCAUAGUAGGAGACAAAUCAACUAAUUUGCUCAUCAAGUAUUUUCUGAAAAGGUGGAUUGCUGCUUCAAAGGACCUGGACCCAGAGGCCCUGUCCAUGAAUGUUUCUUGCUUGGUUCCGAGGCCACCAAACAUACUGGCUGAGCCUUCUGUAUUCACCCUGGCCUAUCAAUGCCAUCUAUGAGAGCAGCCACACUGAGAGAGCAGCAGCAUGGAGCCUACUCAAGGGGAUGGGAUCUUUUAUGAAGAAAUGGAUUGGGAAGAAAAACAUAAGAUAAGGUUGGAACCUCUUCUGGUGCAAGAAGGUCCUAAAUAUUACUGAGGAUCUCUCAUCUUCUAGGUGAAGCUCACAAAAUUGCCCUGGAGGUUGCUGCCUUCCUGGAAGCCAGAGUGAAAAAAAAAAAGAGGACAUGCAGUUGCACAUGGGAGGAUUUUGUGGGCCAUGGUUAUCAGGGCACAAUCCCUUAGCUCACCUUUCUCUGGUGAGAAAACACUUCCAGUGCCACACCUCAGUCUCCUCCCUCUGGUGAAAAAAACACUUCCAGUGCCACACCUCAGCCUCCUUCCUCUGGUGAAAAAACAGUUCCAGUGCCAUACCUCAGCCUUUCCUCUGGUAAAAAACACUUCCAGUGCCACACCUCAGCCUCCCUCCUCUGGUGAAAAAACACUUCCAGUGCUACACCUCAGCCUCCUUCCUCUGGUGAAAAAAUACUUCCAGAGCCACACCUUACCCUCCUUCCUCUGGUGAGAAACUACUUCCAGUGCCACACCUCAGCCUCCUUCCUCUGGUGACAAAACACUUCCAGUGCCACAACUCAGCCUCCUUCGACUGGUGAGAAAACACUUCCAGUGCCACACCUCAGCCUCCUUCCUCUGCUGAGAAAACACUUCCAGUGCCACAGCUCAGCCUCCUUCCUCUGGUCACAAAACACUUCCAGUACUACACAUCACUGCUGGAGAACUGGAGAGUGGAGUCUUCCAGCCCAAGAAGAAAGAAAUAUAGGAUUUUGUCAAGUACCAGAAGUUUCUGCCACACUCAGUGGGCAUUCUUUGAGUUAGUUUUUUUAGUAUAUUUCACUAAAAACUGUGAGAGAGGAACCCUUAAUAUAGGUCCUGCAAAAAACAAGUAUUCAAUAAAUCCUGUUGAAUCAAUAAAUGAAUCACCUCUUCCAAAAUAAGCUUAAUUGUUUAAGUUACUAGCAAAAUGCCUAAAUGAAAAUUAACCAUUCUAUAGAGACAUUAUUGAGUUAGUUCAUUCAGCCAUUCAAUAAAUGUAUUCAGUGUAUGUUUAUAGAAUAACUAUAAUUUACCAACUGUUUUAGGCAUGGGGGGUACAGCAGUGAAUAAAAUCAUCCAACUACCUAUUCUAACAGAGAUUAAAUUCUAGUGGUACAAGCAGCAGACGAACAAAUGAAUAAUUUCAUAUAUUCAUCCAUGCAAUAAUAUUGAAAAUUUUAUUUUCAAUAAAUAAUCAGUGGUCCUCAACCUUUUCGGCAUCAGGGAACAAUUUUGUGGAAAACAAUUUUUCUACAAACGGGUGGGAGAAUGGUUUCAGGAUGAUUCAAGCACAUUACCUUUAUUGUGCACUUUAUUUCUAUUAUUACUGCAUUGUAAUAUAUAAUGAAAUAAUUAUACAACUCAUCAUAAUGUAGAAUCAGUGGGAGCCCUG
RNAcentral lists this long non-coding RNA (1776 nucleotides) under Homo sapiens (human). RNAcentral describes it as "HSALNT0213939". Lineage: Eukaryota; Metazoa; Chordata; Mammalia; Primates; Hominidae. The record is from RNAcentral.